UACGGAGGGGGCUAGCGUUGUUCGGAUUUACUGGGCGUAAAGCGCACGUAGGCGGCUUAGAUAGUCAGGCGUGAAAGCCCCGGGCUCAACCUGGGAAUAGCGCUUGAUACUGCUAAGCUAGAGUCCGGGAGAGGGUAGUGGAAUUCCCAGUGUAGAGGUGAAAUUCGUAGAUAUUGGGAGGAACACCAGUGGCGAAGGCGGCUCACUGGCUCGAUACUGACGCUGAGGUGCGAAAGCGUGGGGAGCAAACAGG
This 253-nucleotide unclassified non-coding RNA is filed under the name uncultured Alphaproteobacteria bacterium. RNAcentral describes it as "contains 16S-23S intergenic spacer region". It matches the Rfam family "Bacterial small subunit ribosomal RNA", at positions 524 to 776 of the family's 1533-position model. Lineage: Bacteria; Pseudomonadati; Pseudomonadota; Alphaproteobacteria. The record is from RNAcentral.